RNAcentral lists this unclassified non-coding RNA (250 nucleotides) under uncultured Ascomycota. Its description in RNAcentral is "sequence contains ITS2". The stretch from base 1 to 52 matches the Rfam family "5.8S ribosomal RNA", at positions 103 to 154 of the family's 154-position model. Lineage: Eukaryota; Fungi; Ascomycota. The record is from RNAcentral.
AACGCACAUUGCACCCGGUGGUAUUCCGCCGGGUAUGCCUGUCUGAGCGUCAUUUCUACCCUCGAGCACUGCUCGGUGUUGGCGGAUUGCCUAGCAACCGCUGAAAAUCAACGGCGGUGGCCCCUAUGUCCCUGUAUAGUACUAUUCUUACAGUGGUUAUAGCGGUCUACCAGUCUCUUGUCGGCGCCGUAAGAAGCGCUACACUUUGAAACUCGACCUCAGAUCAGGUAGGAAUACCCGCUGAACUUAA